GUUCUGCCUCUGACUGCUGCGCGGCUAUGCUAUUACUGUGACACAGGGGAGAGGGACCAAUCAGAUCACAGCUCUCAUUUUAGGAUGUCCUACGGAUAAUGAAAGCCGCCACCUGCAGCCAGGAAAACAGAGGAACCGAGGGAGCAGCAGAAGACUGUCCAUUUAGCGCCAUUGAAAAGAAAAUCCUGCAUAUCACUAACUAGUCCAUACUAAAAUACCGCAAGCCAGCGAUUGGAGUCUUCAGAAUUCGGGCGCCCCAUCUCCGGCCGGUCUCUGCUGACAGUCUGCUUCACCAAAGGAAGUUGCUGACGGGCAACGGAACGCGUGGGGUCUCUAGGGGGGCACCUGCCUGGCUACUCCUCCAUCUAUUGUCCUCUACUGCUAAUCCCCUGUGUUAUUUAUGAAGGAUAUUCAGGGCCGGCACCACAUAUAGGCAAGGUGGGCACCCCCUGGCCCACAGAGGAUAUUUCUGUCAAGCCACACACCUUUAUUGCGCUGCC
Hyla sarda is the source of this 500-nucleotide long non-coding RNA. RefSeq lists it as uncharacterized. The transcript has 6 exons. NCBI's taxonomy places the organism in Eukaryota, Metazoa, Chordata, Amphibia, Anura, Hylidae. The record is from RefSeq and is a predicted model, not a curated record.